UCGGCGCUGAAAUGGGAACUUACGCUUGGAGGAGCAAUCUCACCAGCUGGGAAGCUGCAAAGCAUCAUUUCAUUGGUGAAGAGCAUCCACAAAGACUGCGGUUCUCCGAGCAUCACCUGCCUACAUGGACACCAGGGAAAGACGAUUCUGAGAACUGUGGACAGCCCCUGCUGCCAUACAACAGCACCUGGUGGUAGAGAGACAGGGACUAAAGAGGAGCAGACUGUGAAUGUAGGGAGCAAGCAGAUGGAGAAGAACAGCACCAAACAAGGACUCCAUCCUGCCACUCCUCAACAAAAGGUCUUCCAUUGCAAACCUGCCACCAAAAAGACACAGAACGAGUUGCACUGUAUUGACCUGCUGAGCACAUCACUGUCAACAUGGGCACGAGUACUGCAGGCACCCUUUGAAUGGUGCCUUUGUUUCCUCUCUGAGCAUCCUUCUACCCACUGCCAUGAUCUCAGUGAGCCCAGCAGGAGCUUCCUGGCAGCAGCUGAACUGCUGCAAAGUGUCCUGGUGAGUGUUUGCAGGACCCAGGCAGCAGCACGGACCAAUUCUCCCAGCCCCACUGAGGGUGUGAAGUGGCCUGUGGCACCAGCGGGACAUGGAGCCUGGGGACCUCACCUGUACUUCGAUGCACUCAAUGGGAGAGUGACACAACAAAAUGGGGAGGGACUGGGGAUUUCCUAACAGAAGCCAGCUGGUGGCUGGAUGGAGGUCUUAGGUACAUUUUACCUGAUCUCAACAAGUUCUCAUGCACUUUCUAUUGGCACUUACUGAUGUACUCAGGAGGUUUAAGUUCAAAGAACUACUGAAGCUGAGGACAGAUAUGAAAAGAUGCAGUGUUUCAGCUGUCAGACCGGAGGCUCAGUGCAGAAACAAGCCUCCCUGCUAACUCCAAGUACAAAUCUCAGGUGAGAGGGGAUGAAGAGAUCUAUGUCUCCCUCCUCAUUCCCAACAGUAUUCAGUGUACCAUAAAGACAUCUGUGGGGUAGAACCACAUCUAACACCUACCAGAUAGGUUGUUCCACACUUUCCAUUGCAGGCAUCAGUUUCCCGUAAUUUAAAACUUUACCCAGCUUCAUUCCAGUUCCAUUUUGAUUUCCCAUCCCAGAGCUCCUGUCUCAGAGACACGGAACAAGGAAUCCUUGCACCAAGGGAUGGCAUCAGACCCAUUGAGCUGUGCCCUGGGGUUGCAAAGCUCUGCAAGGCCCAUGAGAGCCUGUUGUGCAUUGCACUGUUUUGGAGGAACUGUUUUGGUGUCACCUUUCUGGUUUUAUUUCAUUGUGUUGGUUCUUUAUCCUUUGUUAAAGUUGCUGCUUUCCCUUUCAAA
Non-coding RNA from Coturnix japonica (Japanese quail), 1333 nucleotides. NCBI's taxonomy places the organism in Eukaryota, Metazoa, Chordata, Aves, Galliformes, Phasianidae. The record is from RefSeq and is a predicted model, not a curated record.